CGGAGUAUUUUUCCAGAGGCUACACCGGAUUACUUGGCUGGGAUCAAUGAAGCUGAUGCUAGUGGUAAAUUCAUUUCAGGAAGGAAGCGCAGUUACGCUGAGAGCACACUAACAGAGCAGAGUCUAUACUCAGCUGAAUCUUGAAGGAUGGUCCAUUCCAAAAAGACUGCAGGAUUUAUUCCUGAUGAUGAUGAUUUUAUACUCAGCUGAAUCUUUAAGGAUGGUCCAUUCCAAAAAGACUGCAGGAUUUAUUCCUGAUGAUGAUGAUUUGCUUUCUUCUAUCCUAGGUACAUUAGAAUUCUCCUCUCAGACUUUAUAAAAUGAAAGGGUGACUAUUUUUCAUCUUAAUGAAAAUUUCUGGCUCUUCUUCUUUAGAAUAUGCCAUAAAUCCUCUUUUCUGAUUCUUGUGAAGCAUUCCAAUUUUCCAAAUUAUUUGCCACAAUUCUGCAAAGAUUAAUGUUUAUAAUAUGCCUGUCAAAGUAAGGAUAAUAUUAUGUCACAUGCAAGGAUUGAACCUAUGACCAGC
This 526-nucleotide long non-coding RNA is filed under the name Nicotiana benthamiana. RNAcentral describes it as "long non-coding RNA (NBEN_LNC026617)". The record is from RNAcentral. Lineage: Eukaryota; Viridiplantae; Streptophyta; Magnoliopsida; Solanales; Solanaceae.